Molecule: ribosomal RNA, 430 nt
Filed under: Pseudomonadota bacterium
Lineage: Bacteria; Pseudomonadati; Pseudomonadota
Description: Proteobacteria bacterium partial 16S ribosomal RNA
Rfam family: Bacterial small subunit ribosomal RNA
Source: RNAcentral
UGGGGAAUAUUGGACAAUGGGGGGAACCCUGAUCCAGCCAUGUCGCGUGUGUGAAGAAGGCCUUAUGGUUGUAAAGCACUUUAAGCGAGGAGGAGGGUACUGGUAUUAAUACUACCAGCUACUGGACGUUACUCGCAGAAUAAGCACCGGCUAACUCUGUGCCAGCAGCCGCGGUAAUACAGAGGGUGCAAGCGUUAAUCGGAAUUACUGGGCGUAAAGCGCGCGUAGGUGGUUCGUUAAGUUGAAUGUGAAAGCCCCGGGCUCAACCUGGGAACUGCAUCCAAAACUGGCGAGCUAGAGUAGGGCAGAGGGUGGUGGAAUUUCCUGUGUAGCGGUGAAAUGCGUAGAUAUAGGAAGGAACACCAGUGGCGAAGGCGACCACCUGGGCUCAUACUGACACUGAGGUGCGAAAGCGUGGGGAGCAAACAGG